CCGAAAAGGUCAUCAGUUCACCCACCGCUGUAUACUGAGCACAAACACAGAUGAGCCGAGCGAUCUGCUUGAUGACUCGACUGAUCUUGACGGCUGCUUCGCGCUCCAAUCCGUGUAUCUGUGUUUGCACUGGAUAACACGAGGGUGUGCUGCAGAAGACUGCAAUGUUUUAUCACUCACCGGGUUACAUAGGCUGAAGCAGGCAAGCGUCCUCACAGUGUUUAACUAGUGCCAUGAGCUGAAGUCUGGGAGGACACUUAAGCGCAUCACUGAGAUUGUGAUCUUGUUUGAUGCUAAAUUGCUUUUAAUUGUUUAAAAUAAACUUACUAAAUAAUAUUAAAGUGAUGGUUACACCAUUUCUGCAUUUUGAAAUCUCUGCAACAGCUGGAGGUGUAUAGUUCACGGCAUGUUACUGCAAUGUUUACAGUGCUGGACCUAUACUUCUGGGUUUCUUCCCACCGCAGCCUCGCUUUGAUU
Non-coding RNA from Danio rerio (zebrafish), 477 nucleotides. The record is from Ensembl. NCBI's taxonomy places the organism in Eukaryota, Metazoa, Chordata, Actinopteri, Cypriniformes, Danionidae.